Molecule: ribosomal RNA, 483 nt
Filed under: uncultured bacterium
Lineage: Bacteria
Description: partial 16S ribosomal RNA
Rfam family: Bacterial small subunit ribosomal RNA
Source: RNAcentral
GACGAACGCUGGCGGCGUGCUUAACACAUGCAAGUCGAACGAUGAUCAGGAGCUUGCUCCUGUGAUUAGUGGCGAACGGGUGAGUAACACGUGAGUAACCUGCCCCUGACUCUGGGAUAAGCGUUGGAAACGACGUCUAAUACUGGAUACGACUGCCGGCCGCAUGGUCUGGUGGUGGAAAGAUUUUUUGGUUGGGGAUGGACUCGCGGCCUAUCAGCUUGUUGGUGAGGUAAUGGCUCACCAAGGCGACGACGGGUAGCCGGCCUGAGAGGGUGACCGGCCACACUGGGACUGAGACGCGGCCCAGACUCCUACGGGAGGCAGCAGUGGGGAAUAUUGCACAAUGGGCGCAAGCCUGAUGCAGCAACGCCGCGUGAGGGAUGACGGCCUUCGGGUUGUAAACCUCUUUUAGUAGGGAAGAAGCGAAAGUGACGGUACCUGCAGAAAAAGCACCGGCUAACUACGUGCCAGCCGCCGCCGUAA